GGUCGAACACGGACAGCGCUAUAGGUUUAGCUACCCCUGUGGUCCUGGCCGUUAACUAUGAACACUAUGUGUCGGGGGAAUCGACCCCCUCGGUGUCGUAGCCAACGCGUUAAGUGUUCCGCCUGGGGAGUACGCACGCAAGUGUGAAACUCAUAGGAAUUGACGGGGGCCCGCACAAGCGGUGGAGUAUGUGGUUUAAUUCGAUGCAACGCGAAGAACCUUACCAGGGUUUGACAUCCUGCCAAUCCCUUGGAAACGAGGGAGUGCCUUCGGGAGCGCAGAGACGGGUGGUGCAUGGCUGUCGUCAGCUCGUGUCGUGAGAUGUUGGGUUAAGUCCCGCAACGAGCGCAACCCGCGUCGUUAGUUGCCAGCAUUCUGUUGGGCACUCUAGCGAGACCGCCGGUGAUAAACCGGAGGAAGGAGUGGAUGACGUCAAGUCAUCAUGCCCCUUACAUCCUGGGCUACAACGUACUACAAUGCUACGGACAAAGGGCAGCGAGCUCGCGAGAGUAACCAAAUCCCAUAAACCGUGGCUCAGUUCAGAUCGUAUGCUGCAACUCGCCUACAUGAAGGAGGAAUCGCUAGUAAUCGCAGGUCAGCAUACUGCGGGUGAAUACAUUGCUCUGGGCCUUGUACACACCGCCCGUCACACUAUGGAAGUUGGCCACUCCCUUAAGUCGUUACUACUACCCGCAAGUGUAGGAGGGACGU
RNAcentral lists this ribosomal RNA (711 nucleotides) under Synechococcus sp. UI-56. Its description in RNAcentral is "bacterial SSU rRNA". It matches the Rfam family "Bacterial small subunit ribosomal RNA", at positions 751 to 1459 of the family's 1533-position model. The record is from RNAcentral. Lineage: Bacteria; Bacillati; Cyanobacteriota; Cyanophyceae; Synechococcales; Synechococcaceae.